This 524-nucleotide long non-coding RNA is filed under the name Mustela putorius furo (domestic ferret). RNAcentral's name for it is "lncRNA (ENSMPUG00000031130.1)". Lineage: Eukaryota; Metazoa; Chordata; Mammalia; Carnivora; Mustelidae. The record is from RNAcentral.
GGGGGGGUGGGGAAGCUUUAUGCAGAGCCCCCUCCCUGGCUUUCCACCACAUGGGAACACAACAAGGAAGAAACCCGAGAGAGGGGCUCACCCCACCUCGACCCUGCCGGCACCCUCAUCUCAGACAUCUGGUCUCCAGAACUGGGGGAAAUCAUUUGCGUUGUUCAUACACCACCCCUCGCCUGUGGUAUUCGUUAGAGCCUCCUGAAGUGACUAAGACAAGAGUUACCCGUCCUAGGAUGUCGCAGCUUACGUGGGUCUGGGCAGAAUCCUGCACUCACUCCUGUCGGACUGGUUUGGAUGGCUCCAUGUCACCGGGCCUGCGCUCCCAAGAACAGGAUCAUGAACACCUCACAGCGACUUCUCUCUCUGGCACAGCUGAACCAAUGUCACUUUCCCGGGACCACGGCCGCUGUGCUGCGGGCAGAAGCAGGGCACCGUGUGAGGGGCUGUACCUUCCUUGACCCAUCUCCUCGAGCUCUGGAAAAAAUCCUUUUUUUUUUUUUUUUUUUGGAAAAAUUCUU